AAAAACAUCUAAAGACACUGAAGCAGCAAACUUUGUGAAAAUUAAUAUUUGUGUCAUUCUCAAAACUUUUGGCCAUAACUGUACAAUGACUGGGACCAGCUGGUGGUUCGGCUGGACAUCUGGCACCUGAUGGGGCAGUUUGCGUCAGGUGUCACCACUGAGAGCCACCAGAUCUACGGUCCCUUCAUGCGGCAGCUGUCAGCCUGCAUCUUUGAGUGGGAGGCGAUGUCCGCCGACUGCUGGAGGCCAAGAGGUCUGAGAUGGAGGGGAAGCACGGGAUGGUCGGUCUCACAGAGGCAGAGACUGAGGUAAAUCGCCAGUAAGGAGAUGGCACUUCACUGUCGGGGUUUACAGUGGCGACGAGGUGAUUAAACUACAUAAAUGGACAUUGCUUGAAGGGAAGAAUGUUGCGUGAGUAAUGAAACUCAAAAUAAUUAUGUAAUUCGUCAGUUAUUUAUUUAUUUAUUUUUUUAAAUUUUCUUUCGCCAGUCAGAGAAGACUAACCACAGCUAGCACUGCUAGUACAGUAUUCAGGAGCUGCCAAGUAGCAAGACUAUUGGAGUCCAGAAUAGCGACACUGCCCUCUGGUGGUUAAAUAAAAUAAACUGUCAUUGAACCCAUUGGAAUUAGUCGAUCUCAGUGGAGAAAUAUUGUCAAGGGGAAAAAAAGGAAGAAGGGACGUAACAAAUGAGUGCAGUGAAUGAAGUAAUUGCAGAAACUUCUGAAGUGAAGAAGUAGAUGAAUAUUCAGAAAAUUAAGGAAUAUAACAAACUAACUGUACUCCCGUCUCCUGCCUGGUCAUUUCUCCACAACACAAAUAUUACAGUGGAGAUGCGGCGACCAAAGUCUUUCUCCUUGACCUCUUUGAGACCUUCAACAGCGAGAAGGGGGUCGACACCCUGGGCAUCCCGUUGCUGGACUCCAUACGGAUGCGCCACAUCCACUGUAUACAGGACCCACGAGAUCGGCAAAUGCCGGUAUAUCGCUGAGCACGGGGCUCCACAUCCUUGGAGUCAUUCUACCUCCACCUCAACCGGUACCAGGGCAAUUGCAAUGCAUUUCCAGGCAUUCCUGUUGGAUGGACUGAUGAGGUGGAACGAGGACCGUGCGCAGGCAGCAGUGGAGGGAAAGAACAGGAAGCCCCUGCUCUCCUACAGUGGCCACCUGCAGCACAUCCUUAACCUUAGCAGCCAAAGGGUUGCUUGGCGAGGAACAGGGUAAGGACUACACCAAGCCUAGCGAGUACAGGGGUAAGUUGAGUAAGAGAAUGAACAUUUACAUCAGUUGCAUUAAUCCCAUUAACACUUCCCUACUCUGCUUUUGCCGGAGAUUUUUGUUGUUGUUGUUUUGUUCCUUUAAUAGGGAACUCCCAGAGUGGAGUACCUGUACUGGCAAAGUGCUGCGGACCCUGACCUUCCGGAAGAGGCAGCCGCCAUCGAGCAGGACGAGGUUUUUCAGGAGGAGGUUGUGGACCAGACAGUCCACAUCCCUCAUGUCACUCCUAUGAGUGCCCCGUCCUCCAGCUCAGCGGCACCUCUGUCAGGGGAACCCGCUGACGCAUCCAGGUCUGGGCCAUCCAGUCCCACUGCCCUUGCAGACGGAAGCUCUCCUGAGGCCCCUGGUCGACACGGUUCUCCUCACCCUGACCCACUCCUCUGAUUCAGAGGCUUGCCAGGGCCUUGGUGGGGGUAAGGAACCGUCAGGGGCUGUCCGACCGCAGGAAAGACGGGCUGGUGGCGCCAGACUUGACAAGCAACGCUUGAUCUACCCUGCCCGGCACCAGGAGAGGAACGUUCAGGGGCGGUUCAAGGCAACGAAGGGGAAGUUGUCCAUUAUCCUAGGAAAAGACUCUUUCCAAUGUUGCCUUCCCGGACUCAACUCGGGCCCUGCAAAUUGGCCAGGGCACCAGCCAUUUGGUGGAGGCCAUUUGCAGUCAGCUCUGCCAAAUCCAUCCCAGCGCCACGCAGUCUGCCGGCGUCAAGAACAGCAGGUGGGCGCUCAUUCUGGCAGACGACGUGGCCAUCAGGGAGGCAGUGCUGAACAGCCCAAGGUUGAUGGCCCAGACGAACCUUCAGCUCUUUGAGCUGAAUCAAAGGACCAUCAGUCAGUGGUACUCCCGGCGUCAGAAGGAGAGGAUGGUGCUGUAGCAGGGAUUGAGGCUCGCUGCUGCCCCCAGCGUCACCACCCAGCGUCUUCGCCCAGCGUCACCGCCAAGCCCCUCCACUUCAAGCAGGAGGGAAUCAAGGCACCCUUCCCUUUCCCUACGCUGCCCUCCCCCCGGUCCCACGCCAGACCACCCAGCAAAGAGAGCCCAGCCCGCCCACGUGCCCAUUCUGCCAGCCCACCUGGAGCAACAACCCCCCGCACUUCCCGGCCCCUCCCAAGCCCAAGGACCACAGACUGGCUGCUCUUCACCGCCCCCAGUGCCAAGGACAAUGGCUUGGAGGAGGAUGGCGAUGGUGGACACAGAGGAGGUGACAGCCGGGAAGAGAAGGCAACGUGAGCAUUACGUCUGCGCCAAAUGCGGCUUGCCGAAGUGGCGGGAGACGGGCCACAGUUCUGUUGCUGCAGCGGGUGAGAACGUGGCCCAGUGGCUGGUGGAAAUGAAGGACACUAAGGGAUGAGGUGAAGAACACUGAGCCACUGGCUGGGUGGUCAGACGUUUUUAUUUGUAAAUAGUUCACUGUUCCCCUCUACCUGGACCGAGAUCUUGAGUGCGUUGUAGAGGCUUGUGUGUGUUGAGGACCCUCAGAGCUAUAUUGUCUGUAGUCUAUAAGACUACUGGUAGGGUAACCCAUGGUAGGCAGUUCUGAGGCGAGACACCAGACUAACAUCGGUCCGUUCCCAAACAAAAUACUAUAAAAAAAUUAAGAGGAUAGACAUUAAAAUAUACAAAUCAAACAUGAUUUAUCAACACAUCUUCAGGUGAAAACUCAACUUCUUGGUAGAGCUGAUGUUUUUCUCUACAGCAGUAGCUAGAACACAUAGGUAAAACAAGGUAUGACUAGCUUACCUUUCGCAAACAUUUCUGUCCACAUUUCGGUCAGUGGCCCAGAUGCACUGUACAUUAGAGGAAUUAUGGUGUUAUUUUGUUUGUAGAGAUUGAUGACAUUUAUUUCAUGUUUAUUGGAUUUACAUUGCAAUAAUUAUCUUCCGUUUCGUCCUGUUUCCCUAUGUAUACUCUGGUUCAUCAUUAAAACUCCUAGACUGGG
Oncorhynchus tshawytscha (Chinook salmon) is the source of this 3212-nucleotide long non-coding RNA. RefSeq lists it as uncharacterized. The record is from RefSeq and is a predicted model, not a curated record. The transcript is spliced from 5 exons. NCBI's taxonomy places the organism in Eukaryota, Metazoa, Chordata, Actinopteri, Salmoniformes, Salmonidae.